CACUAAGAAGCUAAACCAGCGU
RNAcentral lists this transfer RNA (22 nucleotides) under Tursiops truncatus (common bottlenose dolphin). RNAcentral describes it as "partial tRNA-Lys". The record is from RNAcentral. Lineage: Eukaryota; Metazoa; Chordata; Mammalia; Artiodactyla; Delphinidae.